GUCUACCACCAUACCACCCUGAACAAGCCUGAUGUCUGAUCUCGGAAGCUAAGCAGGAUCAGGCUUGGUUAGGACUUGGAUGGGAGACCACCUAGGAAGACCAGGUGCUGUAGGCA
RNAcentral lists this ribosomal RNA (116 nucleotides) under Pteropus alecto (black flying fox). The record is from RNAcentral. Lineage: Eukaryota; Metazoa; Chordata; Mammalia; Chiroptera; Pteropodidae.